AUACGGAGGAUGCGAGCGUUAUCCGGAUUCAUUGGGUUUAAAGGGUGCGUAGGCGGAAGGAUAAGUCAGGGGUGAAAGUUUGCCGCUCAACGGUAAAAUUGCCUUUGAUACUGUUUUUCUUGAGUGAAUGCGAGGUAUGCGGAAUGAGUAGUGUAGCGGUGAAAUGCUUAGAUAUUACUCAGAACACCGAUUGCGAAGGCAGCAUACUAGAGUUUAACUGACGCUGAUGCACGAAAGCGUGGGUAGCGAACAGAAUUAGAUACCCUAGUAGUCC
Molecule: ribosomal RNA, 274 nt
Filed under: uncultured bacterium
Lineage: Bacteria
Description: partial 16S ribosomal RNA
Rfam family: Bacterial small subunit ribosomal RNA
Source: RNAcentral